CCAUUGAGAAAAUGUUGAAAUGAUUUAAAAACAGACAGCAGUAGCUACAUAUAGAAAAUACCAAAUAUAUGGCAAGCGCAAUAAAUGCGUUUUGGUGACGUCACAUAUUACAAAGUGUAAUCGCAGCCUUUGCGGUUUGAAAAUCGUGUUUCAUCAUAUCGCGAUAUUAUCGCAAAUGCAAUAAAUCGUUCAGCCCUAAACCAAACUAGAUUUUGUUCAAAUCUACACAAUUUUCGAACAACAUAGUUGGUAAUUGGCACGUUUACGUUACAUAUUCCAUGCCUCAUUUCUCACAUUGCCUCUUUUCCCCUCACUGUUUCUCUGAGCCUGUCCCCCUUCCUGUCUCUGUCCCAGGCUCUCAGGUUGUCUUAUCUCAGAGCUGGGUUGUGGCUUCUUGGCCACUGCGCUAGCAUCAAAUCCUGCCUGCCUAAGAGAGCUGGAUGUGAGCUACAACCAUCUUGGGGAAGAUGGAGAGAGACUGUCGUCACUGUGCAGGCUGGAGAAGCUGACGUUUAGUCAUGGUGGUGCAUGUCGGUUAAACCGAGGACUGAGAAAAUAUGCUUGUGAACUCACACUGGAUCCCAACACUGCUCACCAAAACCUACAUAUUUCUGAAGAUAACAAAUCGGUGAAACAUGUU
Molecule: long non-coding RNA, 640 nt
Organism: Alosa sapidissima (American shad)
Lineage: Eukaryota; Metazoa; Chordata; Actinopteri; Clupeiformes; Clupeidae
Exons: 3
Source: RefSeq, a predicted model, not a curated record